This 28-nucleotide small RNA is filed under the name Bombyx mori (domestic silkworm). RNAcentral describes it as "ovarian small RNA-6254". The record is from RNAcentral. Lineage: Eukaryota; Metazoa; Arthropoda; Insecta; Lepidoptera; Bombycidae.
UAGAAGUCCAUGAGAUGCAGUUGUGUUC